UAUUAAACUAAAUUAUUUUCAUCAUAAACAAAGCAAUGGAUUCUUUUCGUCCAAAGCUUCGAUGUGAUAUUUUAUUAAAAUUUCAAGUUGAAAAUUAGUUUUAAAGUUUAGUAACGUGUAUAGUAAAACAAGAUUUAUAUUACAAUAAUUUUUACUAUUUAUGUGGUUAACAUAACAACACAGUGAGGUUAACAACAACAACAACACAGGUCUAUCUUGUAUGAUGUGACUAUCUUAUUCAAUAUUUCUGGUUUUGAGGAAAGCAUUUUCCCAUAAUUUCAAAUGUCUACCUUGUAUGAUGUGAUCACCUUCUUAUUCAAUAUUUCUGGUUUCGAGAAAAGCAUUUGCCCGUCAUAUCAAACGGGGUGAAAUUUCCAUUGCUGAAACAAGUGUCAACUCAGCGGUUCCACACCUUCAGCAGAGGGGAUGAUAAAGAUGCACACUUUCGAUCAAGUUACUGAGGACAGUGGAUAGAAUUGAUAUGGUGUUUUGUGACAAUGUUAUGGAGGGUAAUGGUGGAUGAGUGAGGGAUGACACUAGCAGGACAAUAGGAAUCGCGUUUGAGAGAACUGAAAUGCAUUUCAAGUGAGUAUAUUUCAUCUUGGUCAAGUAUUCAAGUGUAUGAAACUACUGUCUGUAAGACAGGUAUUACGAAGUAAGCAAAUACAGUUGUAGCAAAUAAUAUUAUAUGUUUGCUAAGUAAAAUUAAUUUAAAUUCAUUCAUAUCUGUGUUAUUGAUUAAUAUAUUAUCCUAUUCCAUUCUAGCACCUCUGUGAAUUUAAUAUUCACAAGUCAUAUAUUUUGAUUUGUGUAAAGAAUACCUUGACAAAAAUGGAAA
Long non-coding RNA from Nilaparvata lugens (brown planthopper), 838 nucleotides. RefSeq lists it as uncharacterized. The transcript is spliced from 5 exons. The record is from RefSeq and is a predicted model, not a curated record. Lineage: Eukaryota; Metazoa; Arthropoda; Insecta; Hemiptera; Delphacidae.